GAUGAACGCUAGCGGCAGGCCUAACACAUGCAAGUCGAGGGGCAGCACGUCUUCGGAUGGUGGCGACCGGCGCACGGGUGCGUAACGCGUAUGCAACCUACCUCUUACAGUGGGAUAGCCCAGAGAAAUUUGGAUUAAUACCGCAUAGUAUACAGAUUCAGCAUUGGGACUGUAUUAAACAUUUAUGGGUAAGAGAUGGGCAUGCGUUCUAUUAGUUAGUUGGAGUGGUAACGGCACCCCAAGACAGCGAUAGAUAGGGCCCGUGAGAGGGGAGUCCCCACACUGGUACUGAGACACGGACCAGACUCCUACGGAGGCAGCAGUGAGG
RNAcentral lists this ribosomal RNA (328 nucleotides) under uncultured bacterium. RNAcentral's name for it is "bacterial SSU rRNA". It matches the Rfam family "Bacterial small subunit ribosomal RNA", at positions 28 to 359 of the family's 1533-position model. The record is from RNAcentral.